AUGACGGGCCCAGCCCGGCCCGGCCCGUGGGCAAGGCCAGGUAGGGUCGGGCCGUCCUGGCCGGGCUGUCCAUGGCCAGCUAUAAGCCAGAGCAUGGGCUGGGCAUUCGAACAAACAGGUGGUGUGCAACCAGAAGCUGACCACCAAACCAGAAGAGAGGAGAGGAGAAGAGAAGAAGACUUACAGAGGAGGGAAGCAGAGAGGAGUUUAAUUAGCAGCUUCACGGAGCAGAGAGGUCUUGUAUCAGACAGUCACUCGUCCAUGAGAAAGGCAAGCACUGUUGGGCAGGUAGCUCCUGCCAUGUCGAUGCCAUGCCAUGCCAUGGAAAUUGCAGUGGCACUGUUGGGCAAUUCCUUGCUCUGCGCAAGAAAAUCACCAUCAGUCACAUCAUAUUUUAUACAGCUUCUUGAUUAG
This 414-nucleotide ribosomal RNA is filed under the name Triticum aestivum (bread wheat). RNAcentral's name for it is "partial small subunit ribosomal RNA". The record is from RNAcentral. Lineage: Eukaryota; Viridiplantae; Streptophyta; Magnoliopsida; Poales; Poaceae.